UGUGGGAAUAUUGCACAAUGGGGGAAACCCUGAUGCAAGCAACGCCGCGUGAGUGAUGAAGGUCUUCGGGUUGUAAAGCUCUGUCUUCAGGGACGAUAAUGACGGUACCUGAGGAGGAAGCCACGCUAACUACCUGCCAGCAGCCGCGGGUAUAUAAAA
Molecule: ribosomal RNA, 159 nt
Filed under: uncultured anaerobic bacterium
Lineage: Bacteria
Description: partial 16S ribosomal RNA
Rfam family: Bacterial small subunit ribosomal RNA
Source: RNAcentral